RNAcentral lists this ribosomal RNA (814 nucleotides) under Streptomyces sp. DST19. RNAcentral's name for it is "bacterial SSU rRNA". It matches the Rfam family "Bacterial small subunit ribosomal RNA", at positions 59 to 885 of the family's 1533-position model. Lineage: Bacteria; Bacillati; Actinomycetota; Actinomycetes; Kitasatosporales; Streptomycetaceae. The record is from RNAcentral.
CAGUCGAACGAUGAACCGGUUUCGGCCGGGGAUUAGUGGCGAACGGGUGAGUAACACGUGGGCAAUCUGCCCUGCACUCUGGGACAAGCCCUGGAAACGGGGUCUAAUACCGGAUACUGACCGACACGGGCAUCCGUGACGGUCGAAAGCUCCGGCGGUGCAGGAUGAGCCCGCGGCCUAUCAGCUUGUUGGUGAGGUAGUGGCUCACCAAGGCGACGACGGGUAGCCGGCCUGAGAGGGCGACCGGCCACACUGGGACUGAGACACGGCCCAGACUCCUACGGGAGGCAGCAGUGGGGAAUAUUGCACAAUGGGCGAAGGCCUGAUGCAGCGACGCCGCGUGAGGGAUGACGGCCUUCGGGUUGUAAACCUCUUUCAGCAGGGAAGAAGCGAAAGUGACGGUACCUGCAGAAGAAGCGCCGGCUAACUACGUGCCAGCAGCCGCGGUAAUACGUAGGGCGCAAGCGUUGUCCGGAAUUAUUGGGCGUAAAGAGCUCGUAGGCGGCUUGUCACGUCGGUUGUGAAAGCCCGGGGCUUAACCCCGGGUCUGCAGUCGAUACGGGCAGGCUAGAGUUCGGUAGGGGAGAUCGGAAUUCCUGGUGUAGCGGUGAAAUGCGCAAAUAUCAGGAGGAACACCGGUGGCGAAGGCGGAUCUCUGGGCCGAUACUGACGCUGAGGAGCGAAAGCGUGGGGAGCGAACAGGAUUAGAUACCCUGGUAGUCCACGCCGUAAACGGUGGGCACUAGGUGUGGGCAACAUUCCACGUUGUCCGUGCCGCAGCUAACGCAUUAAGUGCCCCGCCUGGGGAGUACGG